GCGGGUGUCGUAUAACGGUUAUUACCUCAGCUUCCCAAGCUGGAGACGAGGGUUCAACUCCCUUCACCCGCUCCA
This 75-nucleotide transfer RNA is filed under the name Gammaproteobacteria bacterium. RNAcentral's name for it is "tRNA-Gly". It matches the Rfam family "tRNA". Rfam says of the family: Transfer RNA (tRNA) molecules are approximately 80 nucleotides in length. Their secondary structure includes four short double-helical elements and three loops (D, anti-codon, and T loops). Further hydrogen bonds mediate the characteristic L-shaped molecular structure. tRNAs have two regions of fundamental functional importance: the anti-codon, which is responsible for specific mRNA codon recognition, and the 3' end, to which the tRNAs corresponding amino acid is attached (by aminoacyl-tRNA synthetases). tRNAs cope with the degeneracy of the genetic code in two manners: having more than one tRNA (with a specific anti-codon) for a particular amino acid; and 'wobble' base-pairing, i.e. permitting non-standard base-pairing at the 3rd anti-codon position. Lineage: Bacteria; Pseudomonadati; Pseudomonadota; Gammaproteobacteria. The record is from RNAcentral.